This 548-nucleotide ribosomal RNA is filed under the name uncultured Glomus. RNAcentral describes it as "SSU rRNA". It matches the Rfam family "Eukaryotic small subunit ribosomal RNA", at positions 548 to 1098 of the family's 1831-position model. Lineage: Eukaryota; Fungi; Glomeromycota; Glomeromycetes; Glomerales; Glomeraceae. The record is from RNAcentral.
UUGGAGGGCAAGUCUGGUGCCAGCAGCCGCGGUAAUUCCAGCUCCAAUAGCGUAUAUUAAAGUUGUUGCAGUUAAAAAGCUCGUAGUUGAAUUUCGGGACCAUCAUGUCGGUCGUGCCUCGGUACGUACUGGCAUUGUUGGUUUCUCCCUUCUGACGAACCAUGAUGUCAUUUAUUUGGUGUUGUGGGAAAUCAGGACUGUUACUUUGAAAAAAUUAGAGUGUUUAAAGCAGGCUCACGCUUGAAUACAUUAGCAUGGAAUAAUGAAAUAGGACGUUUGAUUCUAUUUUGUUGGUUUCUAGGAUCGACGUAAUGAUUAAUAGGGAUAGUUGGGGGCAUUAGUAUUCAAUUGUCAGAGGUGAAAUUCUUGGAUUUAUUGAAGACUAACUACUGCGAAAGCAUUUGCCAAGGAUGUUUUCAUUAAUCAAGAACGAAAGUUAGGGGAUCGAAGACGAUCAGAUACCGUCGUAGUCUUAACCAUAAACUAUGCCGACUAGGGAUCGGAUGAUGUUAAUUUUUUAAUGACUCAUUCGGCGCCUUACGGGAAAC